RNAcentral lists this ribosomal RNA (760 nucleotides) under uncultured organism. RNAcentral's name for it is "bacterial SSU rRNA". It matches the Rfam family "Bacterial small subunit ribosomal RNA", at positions 113 to 843 of the family's 1533-position model. The record is from RNAcentral.
ACGCGUGGGUAACCUGCCCCUGAAUUCGGGAUAACUCCGCGAAAGCGGUGCUAAUACCGAAUGUCGUCACAGGGACCGUGGUCCCUGGGAUGAAAGGUGACCUCUCCAUGGAAGUUGCCGUUCGGGGAGGGGCUCGCGUACCAUUAGCUUGUUGGUGGGGUAAUGGCCUACCAAGGCUACGAUGGUUAGCUGGUCUGAGAGGAUGAUCAGCCACACUGGCACUGAAACACGGGCCAGACUCCUACGGGAGGCAGCAGUGAGGAAUUUUGCGCAAUGGGGGAAACCCUGACGCAGCAACGCCGCGUGAGUGAAGAAGGCUUUCGGGUCGUAAAGCUCUGUCAAGUGGGAAAAACGUCUUCCCGUUAACAGCGGGGAGGCCUGAUGGUACCACUGGAGGAAGCACCGGCUAACUCCGUGCCAGCAGCCGCGGUAAUACGGAGGGUGCAAGCGUUGUUCGGAAUUACUGGGCGUAAAGAGCGUGUAGGCGGCAAGGUAAGUCAGGCGUGAAAGCCCUGGGCUUAACCCGGGAAGUGCGUUUGAAACUGCCUCGCUCGAGUAUGGGAGAGGAGAGUGGAAUUCCCGGUGUAGAGGUGAAAUUCGUAGAUAUCGGGAGGAACACCCGUGGCGAAGGCGACUCUCUGNGACCAAAUACUUGAACGCCUGAAGACGCGAAAAGCGUGGGGAGCAAACAGGAUUAGAUACCCUGGUAGUCCACGCCGUAAACGAUGAGCACUAGGUGUACGGGUAUUGACCCCUGCUG